Long non-coding RNA from Trifolium pratense (red clover), 441 nucleotides. RefSeq lists it as uncharacterized. The record is from RefSeq and is a predicted model, not a curated record. The transcript is spliced from 2 exons. Lineage: Eukaryota; Viridiplantae; Streptophyta; Magnoliopsida; Fabales; Fabaceae.
CACAAUCUUGCACCCUAGAAGCUAGAAACGAUAGAUUUAUUUUAGUUUCGGAGAUAGAAAAGGUUUUGCAGGUCUCCAUGGUAGGAUGUGAUAGUAAAAGACACUCGACACUAUACGCCGGAAUCCCAUGAUACGCUGAUAAGUCUAGGGCAAAUCAAGCUACUCUUGAUAAGGUACGUGAGGUGAGUUCACGUCCGGAAAGAGCUGGAUUGGGAGCAGCAUGGCAAAUUCAAAUGUUGGCAGUGGGUAUGUUUAUGGAGCUGUAAUAAAGAAGACAUGCUUCUUUCAUAGGCUUUGCAUGAUUUAGUGCUAAGGAUUAGGAUGAGCUUUUUUGUAUCUAUUAUUUUUUGAGUUUCUUUGACCCUGCUAAUGCAGUUGUCCUUGACAAUUGUUGCUCAAUUUUGUUCACACAAUACUAUAUUAUGUUAAUUUGGUUUGAAA